Molecule: ribosomal RNA, 408 nt
Filed under: bacterium enrichment culture clone ALO1_GLFRUDD03F6ALM
Lineage: Bacteria
Description: bacterial SSU rRNA
Rfam family: Bacterial small subunit ribosomal RNA
Source: RNAcentral
GAGUUUGAUCCUGGCUCAGAUUGAACGCUGGCGGCAUGCCUUACACAUGCAAGUCGAACGGCAGCACGGGAGCUUGCUCCUGGUGGCGAGUGGCGAACGGGUGAGUAAUGCAUCGGAACGUAUCCUGGAGUGGGGGAUAACGUAGCGAAAGUUACGCUAAUACCGCAAAUUCUGUGAGCAGGAAAGCGGGGGACCUUCGGGCCUCGCGCUCUUGGAGCGGCCGAUGUCGGAUUAGCUAGUUGGUGAGGUAAAGGCUCACCAAGGCGACGAUCCGUAGCAGGUCUGAGAGGAUGAUCUGCCACACUGGAACUGAGACACGGUCCAGACUCCUACGGGAGGCAGCAGUGGGGAAUUUUGGACAAUGGGGGCAACCCUAAUCCAGCCAUGCCGCGUGAGUGAAGAAGGCCU